Vicugna pacos (alpaca) is the source of this 1700-nucleotide non-coding RNA. The record is from RefSeq and is a predicted model, not a curated record. Lineage: Eukaryota; Metazoa; Chordata; Mammalia; Artiodactyla; Camelidae.
UCUUUCCUGGCUUUAUAUUGUUGCGUGAGUGUUGCCUGGGUUUUGUUUCCCCACCCAAAAUACAGGCUGCUUGAGGGCAGAGAAGACACAGUGCUAUGUCUGAGAACUUCCUUGUUCACCCAGGGUAACAGUAUGUACAGAGUUGGUUUCUUUUUACCUAUUGAGUGAACACUAGGUGGGGAAACAUCAGAAAUAUUCAAAAUGUGGUCCCAGUCCUUGAGUGGGUAGUAUUUUAGUUGAGCAAACGUUGUGUACUCACGUGGGACAGUAUGAAACGUUGGCGCUAAAUGAAGGAAAUAAUGAUUGAUCACAUUUAUGUAGGACUUAAAACGUGCCUGACACUGCCCCCGGUCCUUCUCCGUGUUACUUUAUUUGCAUGUCACAGCGAUCUGUUGAAGUAGGUACAGUUCUAAUCCCAUUUUUCAAAUGAGGAAACUGAGGCCCAGCAAGGCAGUUAAGUGACUUGUCCAAGAUCACAAUACGAGCCGUAAGCAGGGAGACAGGCUGUGAGCCCGGGCAGCCUGGGUCCUGAGUCACUGUGGGCCCUCCAGGGAGAUUUACUUUAUCAAAGGCAGACAAGAGGUCUAAAAGCUGACACUUUUCUCAAAUUUCCAAGUAGCACACACAACUGCAGUGGCUCUGGGCUGCAGAAAAAGGGCUGGAUUUUCCAGGUGGAAGAGGUUGAUAAUGAAAUAGUGGCGGGGACACUGUAUUUUGAAAUGACUAAAGGCAAGACGAGAGAAGCUGAAUUUUGAACCUCAAAGCUAAGUGAGGGAUGUGACUCUCCCUAGGAAUGGAGUUCUAGGACAGUGACUCACCGGGACGUAGGGCAGUGAUUUUAAGUUACUAAUCAGUGUCAAAUAACUCAUGCGAAAUAAAGCAGUACUGAAUGACACUUGUUACGACUUUAAAAACACUUUUAAACCCCUAGUGGACAUAGUUUCCCAGCGAAGGGGAGUGUGACUGAAGGUUUCCUGUGCACGUCUGUCCAUUUGCUUUGUCCAUCUGUGAAAUCUUGAUCCACUUUUUCAGCUUGUCUUGGACAAUAGAGAACACACAUGGGGCUCAGAGGCCUCUUCAAACCAAGCAAUGUUCUUUGGUAGGGGGAAAAAAAACCCCAAACCAUAAAAUCACGCUGUUGAUCUGGUGACAGACCUAGAACGAAGUCAUUUUGAAGCCAUGUGGAAUUGGAUGAGGGCCUACAGACAAAAUCCAGCAAGAGGAAGAGAAAUGAUAUUCUCUGAAGGCCCAGUCUUGUAUCCUUCUUGUCGGGAGCUGACAGUUAUUCUGGGGGUGUCGGGCAUCAGCAGAGUCCACUGAAUCCAAAUGACUCAGCAGAGAGGGGAGUCCGCACGUCUCCACACCCACUGCCCUGGAAUCAGAGGAGGAAGUACCUUGAAUGAAUCAUGGGCCGCAACCCUGGUCUGACGCCGGGGAGACACCCGCUCUGCAGGCAUCUUACCGUGGAAACAACACAGUUUGACUUCCAUGCCAUCUUUGAGGAUGGGAGAAUCCUAGUUUCAGCGUGUCCUCAGUAGAGACCAAAGAACCAGGUUUGUUCUUUCAAGAAGUGUCCCAAUGCCUCGGAACAGGAGCCAUUUCCAGAAGUAAAUAGUAAUGUCCGAUGCCUGUGAACCGGACUGUUUGGCCAAGUGACUCGUUAAGAUGUUCAUGGAAGAAUGCUUAAAAAAAAAAAAAAA